Molecule: unclassified non-coding RNA, 505 nt
Filed under: Hevea brasiliensis (rubber tree)
Lineage: Eukaryota; Viridiplantae; Streptophyta; Magnoliopsida; Malpighiales; Euphorbiaceae
Source: RNAcentral
GGUGCAUGCGCUUUGAUGUGGAAAAAAAAAAAUCCUAACUUGUACCAAAUCAAAAAAUGAUAUAACUUGUGAGGCAUACCAAUGUGGAUGGCGCUGUUCACCUUGAUGUCGGCAUAAUUUUCGAAAUCACUAUUCAUCUCGAGGCCAUGAUUUCCAAAAGCAAAGGAAGGAAGAAGUUUAGGGCUCCAUUGAUAAUCCAAAAUUCACUUUCUUCUUUUAUUCGCUUCAUAUCCAGAGGAAGGUAACUUUGAGAUUUUUAUUUUUCUAAGAGAUCAGAUAGAGGGAUGUGGACUUGAUUUUGUUAUUUUGGUUUUGGAAAUUUCAUUUUUCGGUUUAAUUUUUUUAUUUAUAUAUUUUUCUUUAUAAAAUCUUGCAUUAUUAAAAUUCUAACAAAUAAAAAUAAUUCUUUAUUAUUUAAAAUCAUAAAAAUUAUCUUUUUUUUUGAGAUGUUAGCUUAUUUUUGCUUAUUCACUCGCAAAACAAUGCAACUUCUCUCUCUCUCUCU